GCUGGGCAUGGUGGUGCAUGCCUGUAAUCCCAUCUACUUGGGAGGCUGAGGCAUGCGGAUUGCUUGAACCCAGGAGGUAGGGGUUGCAGUGAGCAGAGAUCAUGUCACUGCACUACAGCCUGGGUGAUACAGGGAGACUGUGUCUCAA
This 148-nucleotide non-coding RNA is filed under the name Nomascus leucogenys (northern white-cheeked gibbon). The record is from Rfam by way of RNAcentral. Lineage: Eukaryota; Metazoa; Chordata; Mammalia; Primates; Hylobatidae.